GACGAACGCUGGCGGCGUGCUUAACACAUGCAAGUCGAACGGAAAGGCCCUGCUUUUGCGGGGUGCUCGAGUGGCGAACGGGUGAGUAACACGUGAGUAACCUGCCCUUGACUUUGGGAUAACUUCAGGAAACUGGGGCUAAUACCGGAUAGGAGCUCCUGCUGCACGGUGGGGGUUGGAAAGUUUCGGCGGUUGGGGAUGGACUCGCGGCUUAUCAGCUUGUUGGUGGGGUAGUGGCUUACCAAGGCUUUGACGGGUAGCCGGCCUGGGAGCGUGACCGGCCACAUUGGGACUGAGAGACGGACCAGUCUCCUACGGGAGGCAGCAGUGGGAAGUAUUGCGCAGUGAGCGGGAGCCUGAUGCGGCAGCGCCGCGUGCGGGAUAACGGCCUACGAGGUAUGAACCGCUUUCGCCUGUAACGAGGCGUGAGUGACGGUAAUGGGUAAAAAAGCACCGGCUAACUACGUG
RNAcentral lists this ribosomal RNA (468 nucleotides) under uncultured bacterium. Its description in RNAcentral is "partial 16S ribosomal RNA". It matches the Rfam family "Bacterial small subunit ribosomal RNA", at positions 28 to 507 of the family's 1533-position model. The record is from RNAcentral.